UUCUCUCUUCUGACGAACCAUGAUGUCAUUAAUUUGGUGUCAUGUGGAAUCAGAACUGUUACUUUGAAAAAAUUAGAGUCGUUUGAAGCAGGCUCACGCUUGAAUACAUUAGCAUGGAAUAAUGAAAUAGGACGUUUGAUUCUAUUUUGUUGGUUUCUAGGAUUGACGUAAUGAUUAAUAGGGAUAGUUGGGGGCAUUAGUAUUCAAUUGUCAGAGGUGAAAUUCUUGGAUUUAUUGAAGACUAACUACUGCGAAAGCAUUUGCCAAGGAUGUUUUCAUUAAUCAAGAACGAAAGUUAGGGGAUCGAAGACGAUCAGAUACCGUCGUAGUCUUAACCAUAAACUAUGCCGACUAGGGAUCGGAUGAUGUUAUUUUUAAUGACUC
This 384-nucleotide ribosomal RNA is filed under the name uncultured Glomeromycotina. RNAcentral describes it as "SSU rRNA". It matches the Rfam family "Eukaryotic small subunit ribosomal RNA", at positions 694 to 1077 of the family's 1831-position model. The record is from RNAcentral. Lineage: Eukaryota; Fungi; Glomeromycota.